This 747-nucleotide ribosomal RNA is filed under the name Cortinarius chrysopocos. RNAcentral's name for it is "partial large subunit ribosomal RNA". It matches the Rfam family "Eukaryotic large subunit ribosomal RNA", at positions 151 to 885 of the family's 3401-position model. Lineage: Eukaryota; Fungi; Basidiomycota; Agaricomycetes; Agaricales; Cortinariaceae. The record is from RNAcentral.
UAGAGAAGUGUUAUCCGCGCUGGACCGUGUACAAGUCUCCUGGAAUGGAGCGUCAUAGAGGGUGAGAAUCCCGUCUUUGACACGGACUGCCAGGGCUUUGUGAUGCGCUCUCAAAGAGUCGAGUUGUUUGGGAAUGCAGCUCAAAAUGGGUGGUAAAUUCCAUCUAAAGCUAAAUAUUGGCGAGAGACCGAUAGCGAACAAGUACCGUGAGGGAAAGAUGAAAAGAACUUUGGAAAGAGAGUUAAACAGUACGUGAAAUUGCUGAAAGGGAAACGCUUGAAGUCAGUCACGUUGUCCAGGGAUCAACCUUGCUUUUGCUUGGUGUACUUUCUGGUUAACGGGUCAGCAUCAAUUUUGACUGUUGGAAAAAAGUCAAGGGAAUGUGACAUCUUCGGAUGUGUUAUAGCCCUUGGUUGCAUACAAUGGUUGGGAUUGAGGAACUCAGCAUGCCGCAAGGCCGGGUAAUUUUACCACGUACGUGCUUAGGAUGCUGGCAUAAUGGCUUUAAUCGACCCGUCUUGAAACACGGACCAAGGAGUCUAACAUACCUGCGAGUGUUUGGGUGGAAAACCCGAGCGCGCAAUGAAAGUGAAAGUUGAGAUCCCUGUCAUGGGGAGCAUCGACGCCCGGACCAGACCUUUUGUGACGGUUCCGCGGUAGAGCAUGUAUGUUGGGACCCGAAAGAUGGUGAACUAUGCCUGAAUAGGGUGAAGCCAGAGGAAACUCUGGUGGAGGCUCGUAGCGAUU